This 138-nucleotide unclassified non-coding RNA is filed under the name Fusobacterium polymorphum. Lineage: Bacteria; Fusobacteriati; Fusobacteriota; Fusobacteriia; Fusobacteriales; Fusobacteriaceae. The record is from RNAcentral.
CUAAGGAGAAGAAGUCUUUCUCUAUUCUAUUGGUAAUGUUCUUUACAUUACUUCUGAACAUUGGAAACUAUAUAGUAGAACAAACAAGAAAAUAAAAUUAACUCUAACAAUUUCUUAGAGUUAGCUGUCAAAAAAAUA